Molecule: transfer RNA, 73 nt
Filed under: Promethearchaeota archaeon CR_4
Lineage: Archaea; Promethearchaeati; Promethearchaeota
Description: Candidatus Lokiarchaeota archaeon CR_4 tRNA-Val
Rfam family: tRNA
About the family: Transfer RNA (tRNA) molecules are approximately 80 nucleotides in length.
Source: RNAcentral
AGGCUGGUGAUCUAGUGGUUAUGAUGCCCGUUUGACGUGCGGGAUGUCGAGGGUUCAAAUCCCUCCCGGCCUA